CUACGGGAGGCAGCAGUGGGGAAUUUUGGACAAUGGGCGCAAGCCUGAUCCAGCCAUGCCGCGUGCGGGAAGAAGGCCUUCGGGUUGUAAACCGCUUUUGUCAGGGAAGAAACGGUCCGUGCCAAUACCACGGGCUAAUGACGGUACCUGAAGAAUAAGCACCGGCUAACUACGUGCCAGCAGCCGCGGUAAUACGUAGGGUGCAAGCGUUAAUCGGAAUUACUGGGCGUAAAGCGUGCGCAGGCGGUCAUGCAAGACAGAUGUGAAAUCCCCGGGCUCAACCUGGGAACUGCAUUUGUGACUGCAUGACUUGAGUACGGUAGAGGGGGAUGGAAUUCCGCGUGUAGCAGUGAAAUGCGUAGAUAUGCGGAGGAACACCGAUGGCGAAGGCAAUCCCCUGGACCUGUACUGACGCUCAUGCACGAAAGCGUGGGGAGCAAACAGGAUUAGAUACCCCGGUAGU
RNAcentral lists this ribosomal RNA (463 nucleotides) under uncultured bacterium. RNAcentral describes it as "bacterial SSU rRNA". It matches the Rfam family "Bacterial small subunit ribosomal RNA", at positions 339 to 794 of the family's 1533-position model. The record is from RNAcentral.